Molecule: ribosomal RNA, 230 nt
Filed under: uncultured bacterium
Lineage: Bacteria
Description: partial 16S ribosomal RNA
Rfam family: Bacterial small subunit ribosomal RNA
Source: RNAcentral
GACAGAGGGUGCAAACGUUGUUCGGAAUUACUGGGCGUAAAGCGCGUGUAGGCGGCCAUCUAAGUCGGGCGUGAAAUCCCACGGCUCAACCGUGGAAGUGCACUCGAAACUGGAUGGCUAGAGUCCUGGAGAGGAAGGUGGAAUGCUUGGUGUAGAGGUGAAAUUCGUAGAUAUCAAGCGGAACACCGGUGGCGAAGGCGGGCCUUCUGGACAGUGACGUGACGCUGAGA